Saimiri boliviensis boliviensis (Bolivian squirrel monkey) is the source of this 1937-nucleotide RNA transcript. It is a transcript of the gene named secretion regulating guanine nucleotide exchange factor, with no coding region annotated. NCBI's taxonomy places the organism in Eukaryota, Metazoa, Chordata, Mammalia, Primates, Cebidae. The record is from RefSeq and is a predicted model, not a curated record.
GCGCGGCCGCACCUCCUCUCUAGGCCCGCGGGCCCCUUCCCACCACAGACCUCCCCCCGCGCCCACGCGAUCCCGCGUCCCCGGUCCCGUCCUCGAGCCAGGGCCUCCCGCGCCCACCAGUCCCCAACAAGCCCCGCCCCCGUGCGAUCCCUCCCGGAAGCGCCGGCGGAGCGUCCUCGCGUGGAGCGCCCUCGCAUGGAGCGCGAGCCCAGCGCCUCGGAGGCCGCCCCCGUGGCGGCCGCGCUCUUCGCCUGGGGUGCAAACAGUUAUGGGCAACUUGGCCUUGGCCAUAAGGAAGAUGUGCUGUUGCCCCAGCAACUGAAUGACUUCUGUAAACCCAGGUGUAUCAGGAGGAUCACAGGAGGAGGGGGCCAUUCUGCAAUUAUCACAGAUGGAGGGGACCUCUUUGUUUGUGGCCUGAACAGAGAUGGGCAACUGGGGCUUGGUCACACAGAGGAUGUCCCAUCUUUUACCCCCUGCAAAUCCCUCCUUGGCUGUCCCAUCCAACAGGUGGCCUGUGGCUGGGAUUUUACCAUUAUACUCACUGAAAACGGUCAGGUUCUAUCAUGUGGAUCCAACUCCUUUGGCCAGUUAGGAGUUCCUCAUGGACCUCGAAGAUGUGUGGUUCCCCAGGCCAUUGAGCUCCAUAAAGAGAAGAUUGUUUGUAUUGCUGCUGGACUGAGGCAUGCGUUAGCUGCUACAGUGCGUGGCAUCGUGUUCCAGUGGGGAACUGGUUUGGCAUCACGUGGACGACGGUUGUGCCCUGGGCAGACUCUUCCACUGUUUUUCACAGCAAAGGAACCGAGCAGAGUGACAGGUCUAGAGAAUUCUAAAGCAGUGUGUGUUAUUGCUGGCUCAGACCACUCAGCUUCAUUAACGGAUGCUGGAGAGGUGUAUGUUUGGGGAAGCAACAAGCAUGGGCAACUGGCUACUGAGGCUGCUUUCCUUCCUGUGCCUCAGAAAAUAGAAGCACAUUGUUUCCAGAAUGAAAAUGUCACUGCCGUCUGGAGUGGGUGGACACACCUGGUUGCUCAGACAGAAACUGGGAAGGUGUUUACCUGGGGCCGAGCAGACUAUGGUCAACUAGGGAGGAAGUUGGAGACUUAUGAAGGCUGGAAACUAGAAAAGCAAGAUUCAUUUCUCCCCUGUUCAAGACCACCGAACAGCAUGCCCUCAUCUCUGCAUUGCUUAACUGGAGCUACCGAGCUACUGCCCCAGCUACCAACUAGAGGAGUCACUCCUGACAACUAUUUCAAGGUUUCUUGUGGCUCAGAGCAUAAUUUGGCAGUAAUUGGCCUUCAUCUUCAAGAUUUUCUCAAGGUCCAAGAUGGCUACUAGCAAUAUUCAGCCAGAUAGAAGGGAGAAAUGACAAAAAGAGGCCUUUUUAAGGCACUUUCCCAGAAGUGGUGCCCAGCAGUGUCAACUUAAAACCGAUUGGCCAGAGCCUAGUUACAUCGCCAAACCUGUUACGAAGGCUGGGAAAUGAGACUUCUGCCUGGGCAUAUGGCCACCCUGCAUAAAAUCUGAGGUCUGUUACCAGGAAAGAAGAGGAGAUUGGCUUGUGAGCAGGUGGUGUGUGUUACUCUUGGGGCUGGAACUGAGCAUGGCAUGUGCGGAGAUGGCACCGAAGCCAACGUCUGGGCCCCGAAGCCUGUGCAGGCCCUGCCGUCAUCGUCAGGACUCCUUGUGGGCUGUGGGGCUGGCCACUCCCUGGCCCUCUGCCAGCUGCCACCUCACCCUACAUUGGGCCAGGAGCCCAAGGUCACCUACCUUUCCCCAGAUGCCACUGAGGACACUGACUCUCAGGAAGCCAUGGACAAAGAGAGAAACUAGAAGGAAAGACAGUCAGAAACUCCAAUCCAAAGUCAAUCUGACUGGUCCAGAAAUGGGGGACUGUGACAGAGAAUCUUUUAAUAAAGUGGCUUUUCCCACCAAAA